CACGGGGGGAGCAAGCGUUGUUCGGAAUCACUGGGCGUAAAGGGCGUGUAGGCGGUCAGGUAAGUGGGACGUGAAAUCCCUCGGCUCACCCGAGGACCUGCGUCCCAAACUGCUUGACUUGAGUAUGGGAGAGGAUGAGGGAAUUCCUGGUGUAGCGGUGAAAUGCGUAGAUAUCAGGAGGAACACCGGUGGCGAAGGCGGGUCUCUGGGCCGAUACUGACGCUGAGGAGCGAAAGCGUGGGGAGCGAACAGG
Molecule: ribosomal RNA, 253 nt
Filed under: uncultured bacterium
Lineage: Bacteria
Description: partial 16S ribosomal RNA
Rfam family: Bacterial small subunit ribosomal RNA
Source: RNAcentral